RNAcentral lists this transfer RNA (87 nucleotides) under Paraburkholderia rhizosphaerae. Its description in RNAcentral is "tRNA-Leu". It matches the Rfam family "tRNA". From Rfam's summary of the family: Transfer RNA (tRNA) molecules are approximately 80 nucleotides in length. Their secondary structure includes four short double-helical elements and three loops (D, anti-codon, and T loops). Further hydrogen bonds mediate the characteristic L-shaped molecular structure. tRNAs have two regions of fundamental functional importance: the anti-codon, which is responsible for specific mRNA codon recognition, and the 3' end, to which the tRNAs corresponding amino acid is attached (by aminoacyl-tRNA synthetases). tRNAs cope with the degeneracy of the genetic code in two manners: having more than one tRNA (with a specific anti-codon) for a particular amino acid; and 'wobble' base-pairing, i.e. permitting non-standard base-pairing at the 3rd anti-codon position. Lineage: Bacteria; Pseudomonadati; Pseudomonadota; Betaproteobacteria; Burkholderiales; Burkholderiaceae. RNAcentral also lists the same sequence under 20 other names. The record is from RNAcentral.
GCGAGGAUGGCGAAAUUGGUAGACGCACCAGGUUUAGGUCCUGACGCCCGCAAGGGUGUGGGGGUUCGAGUCCCCCUCCUCGCACCA